RNAcentral lists this ribosomal RNA (1640 nucleotides) under Salmonella enterica subsp. enterica serovar Typhimurium. Its description in RNAcentral is "partial 23S ribosomal RNA". It matches the Rfam family "Bacterial large subunit ribosomal RNA", at positions 1181 to 2802 of the family's 2925-position model. The record is from RNAcentral. Lineage: Bacteria; Pseudomonadati; Pseudomonadota; Gammaproteobacteria; Enterobacterales; Enterobacteriaceae.
GUCAAAGCGUUCAUUAAAGUCGAGUUGGCUUAGGGAUACGUUCGUUGGGUAGGGGAGCGUUCUGUAAGCCUGUGAAGGUGUGUCGUGAGGCAUGCUGGAGGUAUCAGAAGUGCGAAUGCUGACAUAAGUAACGAUAAAGCGGGUGAAAAGCCCGCUCGCCGGAAGACCAAGGGUUCCUGUCCAACGUUAAUCGGGGCAGGGUGAGUCGACCCCUAAGGCGAGGCCGAAAGGCGUAGUCGAUGGGAAACGGGUUAAUAUUCCCGUACUUGGUGUUACUGCGAAGGGGGGACGGAGAAGGCUAUGUUGGCCGGGCGACGGUUGUCCCGGUUUAAGCGUGUAGGUGUGUGUUCCAGGUAAAUCCGGUUCACUUUAACACUGAGGCGUGACGACGAGGCACUACGGUGCUGAAGCAACAAAUGCCCUGCUUCCAGGAAAAGCCUCUAAGCAUCAGGUAACACGAAAUCGUACCCCAAACCGACACAGGUGGUCAGGUAGAGAAUACCAAGGCGCUUGAGAGAACUCGGGUGAAGGAACUAGGCAAAAUGGUGCCGUAACUUCGGGAGAAGGCACGCUGACACGUAGGUGAAGUGAUUUACUCAUGGAGCUGAAGUCAGUCGAAGAUACCAGCUGGCUGCAACUGUUUAUUAAAAACACAGCACUGUGCAAACACGAAAGUGGACGUAUACGGUGUGACGCCUGCCCGGUGCCGGAAGGUUAAUUGAUGGGGUCAGCGUAAGCGAAGCUCCUGAUCGAAGCCCCGGUAAACGGCGGCCGUAACUAUAACGGUCCUAAGGUAGCGAAAUUCCUUGUCGGGUAAGUUCCGACCUGCACGAAUGGCGUAAUGAUGGCCAGGCUGUCUCCACCCGAGACUCAGUGAAAUUGAACUCGCUGUGAAGAUGCAGUGUACCCGCGGCAAGACGGAAAGACCCCGUGAACCUUUACUAUAGCUUGACACUGAACAUUGAGCCUUGAUGUGUAGGAUAGGUGGGAGGCUUUGAAGUGUGGACGCCAGUCUGCAUGGAGCCGACCUUGAAAUACCACCCUUUAAUGUUUGAUGUUCUAACGUGGACCCGUAAUCCGGGUUGCGGACAGUGUCUGGUGGGUAGUUUGACUGGGGCGGUCUCCUCCUAAAGAGUAACGGAGGAGCACGAAGGUUGGCUAAUCCUGGUCGGACAUCAGGAGGUUAGUGCAAUGGCAUAAGCCAGCUUGACUGCGAGCGUGACGGCGCGAGCAGGUGCGAAAGCAGGUCAUAGUGAUCCGGUGGUUCUGAAUGGAAGGGCCAUCGCUCAACGGAUAAAAGGUACUCCGGGGAUAACAGGCUGAUACCGCCCAAGAGUUCAUAUCGACGGCGGUGUUUGGCACCUCGAUGUCGGCUCAUCACAUCCUGGGGCUGAAGUAGGUCCCAAGGGUAUGGCUGUUCGCCAUUUAAAGUGGUACGCGAGCUGGGUUUAGAACGUCGUGAGACAGUUCGGUCCCUAUCUGCCGUGGGCGCUGGAGAACUGAGGGGGGCUGCUCCUAGUACGAGAGGACCGGAGUGGACGCAUCACUGGUGUUCGGGUUGUCAUGCCAAUGGCACUGCCCGGUAGCUAAAUGCGGAAGAGAUAAGUGCUGAAAGCAUCUAAGCACGAAACUUGCCCCGA